UACGAAGGGGGCUAGCGUUGCUCGGAAUCACUGGGCGUAAAGGGCGCGUAGGCGGGAUGGCAAGUCGGUCGUGAAAUCCUUCGGCCCAACCGAAGAACGUCGGCCGAUACUGCCGUUCUUGAGGGAUGCAGAGGAGACUGGAAUUCCCGGUGUAGCGGUGAAAUGUGUAGAGAUCGGGAGGAACACCGGUGGCGAAGGCGGGUCUCUGGGCAUUUCCUGACGCUGAGGCGCGAAAGCGUGGGGAGCAAACGGG
Molecule: ribosomal RNA, 253 nt
Filed under: uncultured bacterium
Lineage: Bacteria
Description: partial 16S ribosomal RNA
Rfam family: Bacterial small subunit ribosomal RNA
Source: RNAcentral